CCUAGGGGCGGCUGCAGUGGGGAAUAUUGGACAAUGGGCGAAAGCCUGAUCCAGCCAUGCCGCGUGUGUGAAGAAGGCCUUCGGGUUGUAAAGCACUUUCAGUGGGGAAGAAAGCCUUGGGGCUAAUACCCUCGAGGAAGGACAUCACCCACAGAAGAAGCACCGGCUAACUCCGUGCCAGCAGCCGCGGUAAUACGGAGGGUGCGAGCGUUAAUCGGAAUUACUGGGCGUAAAGCGCGCGUAGGCGGUCUGAUAAGCCGGUUGUGAAAGCCCCGGGCUCAACCUGGGAACGGCAUCCGGAACUGUCAGGCUAGAGUGCAGGAGAGGAAGGUAGAAUUCCCGGUGUAGCGGUGAAAUGCGUAGAGAUCGGGAGGAAUACCAGUGGCGAAGGCGGUCUUCUGGACUGACACUGACGCUGAGGUGCGAAAGCGUGGGUAGCAAACAGGAUUAGAUACCCUUGUAGUC
Molecule: ribosomal RNA, 465 nt
Filed under: Vreelandella stevensii
Lineage: Bacteria; Pseudomonadati; Pseudomonadota; Gammaproteobacteria; Oceanospirillales; Halomonadaceae
Description: partial 16S ribosomal RNA
Rfam family: Bacterial small subunit ribosomal RNA
Source: RNAcentral